Pan troglodytes (chimpanzee) is the source of this 5846-nucleotide RNA transcript. RefSeq lists it as uncharacterized. The record is from RefSeq and is a predicted model, not a curated record. NCBI's taxonomy places the organism in Eukaryota, Metazoa, Chordata, Mammalia, Primates, Hominidae. The transcript has 3 exons.
ACGCCGCCGCGGACCUGGUACCCCAGAGCAGCGAGCGGGUGGGGAGCAGCCGGGGCGAGAGUGAGCGCAAUCUUGCUAACCCCUGCGGAGGGAACGCGCGGGCGCCAACGCGGGCGCGGCGGGGGCGGGCCCUGGACCUGGACCUUGGGUUUCGGCCCUCCUCCGCGCCCCGCGGUCUCGCGGGCGAAGUUUCAGUCCUGAGUGUAAAGAAUAACCCCGAGCGCGUGGCUAAGUGCGAGCAGGCGCGUGUGAUGUCGGGAGGCGCCGCGGCUCCUCGGCCGCCCCACUCGGUGGUCCCCUGUCUGGACCCAAACUGCUGACUGGCUGACCCGAGUGGUCACAUUUGCCCUCUGGGGCUUUUGAAAAGCUUAAAUCAAAAUUGCUUUUGAAUCUGACAACUCCUGAGGCUACUUUCGCGGCCUCGGGGCUGUUUCAUAUAAGGACGCGAGUUUUCCCGAUCAGGUCGGUCGGCCACGUUACGAUUUCCAAUUUGCGAUCCAUCAGUUACUUCCAUUGGGUCUUCAGCCCGCAGGGACUGUGGAUCCUAGACCCCGCGGAGAAGCCCGUGGACUGGAGCUGUGUCAGCUCUGAUGGUAGGAAAGACUAGAUCAAUGACGCGGGCAUUUCAGGACAUAAUCGUAUAUUUUCAAGUUCGAGUUUUUCGGGCUUCGAUUGUCCAGAUAAUUGCCUCCAGUCUCCUCCAGUCCCCCUGGUGUAUGCACUCGCAGCCGCAGAGUUAGAGUCCGGGACGUGAAGAUUGGCGCUUGGAAAUUAGAUUUGGUUUCUAAAGUAUGAAUUCGUGUCCAACAGUUCGUGCCUUGGACAACGUGGGUUGUAUAAAACUCAAGCUGUGUGUUUAAAACAUGUUUUCUAGCUGCUGGUUCUCUCCAAGUUAUGUAGGACUUUUGAACUGGCCACCCCGCUGUGCGUCUGCGAGGGCAGGGACUGAGCGAGACCCAGCCAGGGGCGCCGGGGUCCGCUCGCCGGCUCCGGCGCGGCGGUGCCGGGAGACUGGCGGCGGCUGGGUUGGGGUCCAGCCGGAAACCACACGUUGGCAGGGCCGCUUGGUCAGUAGUGGAGAGAGCCUCUGAGAAAGGGCCGUCUAUCGAUCCCCAGAGCCCUCCGUCACGGACGGAUUCAUAGCUUCCUGGGGAUCGGCCCAGGGCGUCCCUUUGACACUCCGUUCUCUGUCCACACAAGCCCGGCGCGGGGCGGGGAGAAGAGGAAAGGACGCGACUGGGAAAGACGGGACCCUGGCGGGGUUUGGCCCGGGGGAGAGCGGGAAGGAGCCCGGUCGGCGCGGAGGACCUGCGGCCAGCGUGCUAAGCCCUUAUUAGAACAGAAACCCCUUUCCCCCCACACUCUCAUCUCUUUUGCGCUGUCCCCACCGCCAUGCCUUCAAUAACCUUGUGAAUAGAAACCCGAAUCGUUCCAUCUUGGCUUCUGAAACUUAACCUCAGGCAAAGCACACACUCGGCGGGGCCAGGUGGGGCUGGAUGGGGUCCGCGCCCGACGGCGGGGCCGCGGGGGUCGGUGAACCCCAGCUCCCCUGUCGGCCUCAGGGCGGGUGGCUGGGUCGGCGCGGGGUUCGGGGCCUCCGGUCGGCUGCACGAGGGCGGGCCAGGACCCAGACCCCGUCCCCGCUCCGGCCCCGCAAUCCAGCGGGUGACGAGCCUGACGCGCGCCGGUCGCCUGCCACUUCCCGCCCCGAGCGCCCUGGGCCAGUACCUCCCGGCCGCAGGUGAACGCUCCGCGGCCCGCCAGGCUCAAGCUCGACCGUCACAACUUUCCGUGAGGGCUGCACGUUUUUCCGAAUUCAAAUGCCUGCAGGUGCAACUAAUGUUUGCUACACGGGCAAUUAAUUAGCGGGCGCGUCCAAACGCCUGAGGCAAAACCUGAGAUCAUCACUGAAAAAAAAAAAAAUCUAACAGUUCUUUGCCACUAUACUAGUGUAUUUAAUUAUGAUUGCGAAAAAUUGCAGAGGGAAACGAUUUGCUGGCAAUUAAGUAGCAACUGGUUAAAGUUUUUUUUCAAUUUGUCUUUGAAGACAACUGCUGUACUAUGUAUAAAGAAGAGUAUAGCAGGGAAGUUCGAAAGCACACACGGAAUUUUAAAUCUGUUAAAAAUAUUUUUUAAGCAAAGAAGGUGGUAUUUUAAAAGCAUUUAAAACAGCGCCUGGUAUAUAGUAAGCGCCAUAGAAGUCUGUUAAGAAUGCAUAGGGCAAGAGAGCUCAGGGUUUUGAACACUAUCAAAAUAAUAUGCUUAUUUAUCUGCAAAACACAAUAGCCAUUAGGCAGCACGAGAUUUCCCCAUUAGGUCGUUUAUUCUCCUCAGCUAUUUAUUCCAUUUGCCUGUCCCUUGGUUGAGCGCCUUGUCUGUCUAUAACCGAAAGUGCGUUUCGGGUCAGAGAGACAGAAACAGACACGGGAAACCCUUUAAAGCGCCCCCGCCGACUUAAAUACGGUAGUGGAUUGGAGGUGGGGAGGUGUAGGGGAGGCGUUAUGUGGAGAGAAAGAAAAGAGAAAGAAUGAGGGAACGGCGGGAUUUCAAGCCUCCCCGCCCUUCUGCGACAACCUUUUCAGCGAAAGGGAAGGCUUAGGAAGAAAAGAUGUCCGCGCGUAGAGCAAACCGCAGUUCUUUCCUUUCUUUUUGAAGGAUUUGUACCAUGAGUUAAUUACACCAAAAGAUACGAGGGACUUUAUUAGAAAGGAGAUGCCGUUAGGAAAGAAAGGCCAGGACGGCCGAUCUAAAGGGAAUGGAGAAGGGAAGACUCAGACGCCUUCCCGAAAUUGGUGGUCUAGCCUGUGUUUUGUGCUAAAUGUUAUUUAACUUAAUGGCGUGGGAGUGAGAUGUUGAAUGCAGAGAUCUGGAAAUACCAGAUUUAGUGGUCCUGUUCCUCCUCCCCGACUCUUUUCACACCCAUUUAAUAAAAAGUUACAGUUUUUACACCCGUAUGGAUAAAUUUGGCGAUGUUGGCCAAGUAUUAUCUCGCCCCGCAGAUUUUGAAUUUUGUUGCACAAACCGAUGAAAUGAUUGCUUUGCUAUAAUUGUAAAACUUUUUUGGAACGAACCGGGAUUUUUUUUAUGCCUCUUCAUCUACUUUUUGCUUCAUUAGAGCCCUCUGGUUUUCCAAGACCGACUGUCACACUUUGUUAUUUGUUGCUUCUCUAAAUCCUUUGAGAUGCUGCUCGCAGCUACUUGAAAAACGUUGGCCACUCAGGUAUUUGAUGGGCUUAGAAAGUCACCAAGAUGUGACACCAUUUAAAAGUUUUAGCUUGGUUUCUCAGUGAAAUAAGGGCAUCUCUGUUAAUUAGAAAACUUUGUGUUAGUCUGAGAUGCCUAAGAGCAUAGUCCAAAUUGAAAAUUCCAAUAUUUUGCCACAUCUGAAAUAUAAUUAUUUACACAGCCUUCUCUUUCAAAGGGAGGACAAACAGGUUGCCUUGAGAAGAGCUAUUCUAUUUGCAAUUGCUGGGGCAGGUGACAAACACGUGUGUAUCUGUGGGCAGCCUUGUUGGGCUGCCUUCCCUGACUACAAGGCUUUUGUGAGCUGGUAACGCCUUAAAAUGUGUGAGAAUGCUGCGCCCUAGGAGUGGAGGCCAAGGGCAAGAUCCUUGUACAUUUCAAUACCUUUUCCAACAUCAGGCUGGCAGCAGGCAGGCCAACCUAGGGUCACUGUGUGACACAUAUUUGCAAGCCAGUAAAGCAAAACAAAGCUGAAAGCAAGUGCAAAUUUAGGCCCACCAACCUUGAAGUCAUCCCUGAAAGGGAGCUGCUUUACUAGUUAAUUUUUCUUGCCCAGUCAGCCACACAAAAUGCAUUGUAUUUCUUGGCUUGCCCCAGUAAUUGCGACUUACUUGUUACAGCAGAAGCUUCAAGGUAGGAAAUCUAUGACCCAAAGCUCUCUCUCGAAAGUUAGAAUGUUUAAACUGAUCUUUAAAACUGUUGUUGAGGGGCAAUUUAUUUAAAAGCUUUUAUUUUAUGGUGUUGUUAGUGCUUAGCAUGCCUCAGGAUAAAGACUAGUUUUAUUGCAGGACCCUUGAGAAGAGGGGUGUAUAGCAAGUAACCAGUUUUCCGUACGCCAGUAAGCAACAGUGAGAACACUCAGUGUAUUAGCUUAACUUUUUGUGGGAGUUAAAUUGAUGAUGGCAGGCUUUGCCUUUAAGGAAAUUCUUUUAAAUUUCCAUUUUCUUGAAGUUGGUUUGAUUGGCAGAUUUCCCCCCUCUCUUAAGGAUACAAUGAAACAUAUUCACUUCUCUUAUGAAAAUAUUCUUUUAAUAAACUACAUUCCCAUCCCCUAGAAAAAUGCCCAGCACACAGUAGGGGUACAAUAAAUGGUUUCAGAUUUUCUUGUUAAAUUUAAUGAACUCUCUGCUUCUUUACGUGUAUAUGUAGAAUUUACACUCAUUGGAAUAAUAAAAUAGAAGUAAGCAACCGUGCAUUAAAAAGCUAUGAAAAGAUGAAGAGAAUAUGCCUUCAAAUGGGAAGGAAUACUUAACUGUGAAUAAGACCUAGUUCAACAUGGAACUUCCUGGUGGCCAAGUCAGAAGAGAAGCACAGAACAAAAACGGAGGCACAGAGAGGUCAAUUGAUUGGUCUAAUGACACAGAUCUAGCAAGUGGUGGAACCAGGACUGAAUCCAGUCAUUCUCUCUCCUGCCGCCCUGUGAACAGGUGCCUUCCACCGUGAUUGUAAGUUUCCUCAGGCCUCCCCAGCCAUGCAGAACUGUAAGUCAAUUAAACCUCUUUUCUUUAUAAAUUACCCAGUCUUGGGUAUUUCUUCAUAGCAGCAUGAGAAUGGACUAAUACAAGGAUGAUGGUGAGAUAUGGGGUGAAGAAAAGAUAUAAUAUUCUCUUCUAUAAGUUUGUAUAUAUUAAUUGUUAUUCUAAAGAACUAUAAUAAGUGAUUUUUAGAAAAAUGACCAGAAGGUAACCUAAGUCUAGAGUCUCAUAAAAAAGUAAACUAGUUUUGGUGUUAUCAGUAUUCUGUAUUUCUUUUAUUUACAAAUUAUAAAUUUUUGUAUGGGCUGUUAUAGAGUAACAGGGACUGGAUAUACAUUCCAUCAUAAACAACUAGAAAACCAAGAAUAUAUAUGAAACUAUGGUUUUCAAACAUGGUCAGCAGAUAGCUCAGGACAGUGCCCAAGACAAAGGAAACAAGGAGAACUCUAUGAUUUCUACAAUUAACUGUUUGGGAGGGUAUCUAGGCUGCAAUCCAGGAAAGAAAACUCAAAUAAGGCCUAGAUAAUUUGCUGAAUUAUCCAGAAGACAGAUUUUGUAGUUCAUGAAGGUCAAACUGGCUAGAAAUUGCAGAACAAAAUUAGAGAAUUGAGUAAGAGAGUGAGAAGGAAUUUCAGAGAUUUGCAGAAGGGUUUCCUCAAGCAUUUGAUGGAAUAUUUUUCUGAGCAUGCACAGAAGAAAAUGAUUCCAGGCUGAGGAAGGAAUCACUGCAAAGAACAGGUAGAACAAUCUUUGGAGCUUAGACAGUCUGGGAAUAGUUCAUGUUCCUACCAGCCACAGUGGAAAGAUCUCCUGAUACAUGGGCAUUAGAUAAAUUCCUUAAAAAGAGCCAGAUUAACUCCUGAGUAAAAUGGCUCUAGACCUAUUCUAACAUGUAAUAAAAGCAAAUAUUGAUAGAAUCAAACUAAUUCACUGUAACUAAACUGAUUCACAGUAGCUGUCACAGAAAAAGCUUUACAAUACUAAAAGAAUAUUUAAAAAUCCAGCAACCAACAACACAAUGUUUUCUAGGUCUGUCAUGCAAACAAAAGAUUAUCGGACAUUCAAAGAAACUGGAAAAUGUGACUCAUAAGGAGAAAAUAAAUCAAUCAUUAAAAACACACUCAGAAA